This 1947-nucleotide ribosomal RNA is filed under the name Triticum aestivum (bread wheat). RNAcentral's name for it is "partial small subunit ribosomal RNA". The record is from RNAcentral. Lineage: Eukaryota; Viridiplantae; Streptophyta; Magnoliopsida; Poales; Poaceae.
AUGGUGGGCAAGGGUCCAGAGCGCCCCGAGCCUCUUGCGAGCGCUACUGGGAGGGGUGGUUGCAUUAUUGCAGCGCAGCCCCUCCGGAGAGCGGUGCAGGAUGAUAUGCAAACAACUGCGGCGGGCGCUUCUUCUACGGCUGGGAGAGGUCGGGGGAGGACGAAGAAGGCUGGUAGAGGUGGACAUGGCAGUGGGAGAGGUAGGAAGGCUGCUACGCCUUCCUCGCCGCCACCCUCGGCUGAUUCACCCGACCACAGGAGUGCUCCGUCUUACGUGGACCCUCGGACUCCGGUCCACGAGCCUCCGGUCGCUGAUCCUUCGCCCCACCAGACUCGGGUCGCCGACCCCUCGCCCCACGUGAGUCGGGUCCUAGAGUCUUCGUCCCAGAAGACUCCGGUCACGGGGUCUUCGUCCCAGAAGACUCCGAUCCCGGAGUCUUCUUCCCACGAGACUCCAGAGGCUAGUAGCUCAGAGGAUGGUAGCGAGGACACCUUUUCAGAAGAUAGCUGCAGUGACGACGAGCUGGUUGAGAAGGGCAAGAAGGUUUACAAGCGUGGUUGUACAAAGCUCCCGCCCGUGCCGACGACCCCCGACCAGAGGUGGUUGAUUGCGCCUAAAGGGUUGAAGGGCUGGGUACGCCCCCGUGGUUCGCGUAGGCCCAACCAGGUCCUUGGUGUGCUUUGCCGGCAACACUUCCCUGGGCGGGUCACGUUGCCCGGUGAGGGUCAAGUUCCACAGCUAGCACUGACCUGGGAGCUGUACUCGGUUGCCCCGGCCCCGCCGGAGGAGAGGGUCGAUGGUGUCUUGUGCGAGACGGUGGCCAACAUUUUGUUCCGUCGGUUUUGGACCUUCUACAGGGUUUCAGAGGGAGAGCAGGAGGCCGCGUGUAUGGUUGUCGAAAACGAGUGCAAGCGCCUACUUCAGAACUUAAGGCACGAGGCUCGGGUGCAGGCCGUUCGAUACUACUACGCCUCGAAGGGUAUUAGGAGGGGCAAGCAGAAGUGUCGCGGCAUGUUUCUGGGUAAGGAGAAGUACAUGCAGGUGCCCCCGAGAUGGUGUGUGGAUAAGAUGGACUGUUGGGAGGAGUUGGUGGAUGCGUGGUGCUCUGCCCAAUGGAAAGUCGAACACCAAAGGGCCAAGGAUAAGCGCGACCAAAUGGAAGGUGUGCCACACCAUCAAGGGAGCUCCAACCUGUUUGAGUACGGGGAUAACUGGGCGCACCACAACAAGAAGCCUGUGCCAGGUCUGUUCGACCUCUAUGGCAUGGCCCAUAUGGCCCCGUACAAGAAGGCCAAGCCAUUCAUGGAGUCUGACCUAGAUGAUCCAGAGAGCUUCACCAACAAGACCUCCCACCACAAGCUUGUGAAGUACAGACACGAGGGGAAGGCGAGGAAAGGGGAGGACUUUAACCCGAGCCAGGAUCCUUUUGAUACAGAGCUAGUGAUGAUAUCUGGUGGCGGGAGGUCCCAUGGCUCUCUAGCCAUUGGUGAUGGACUGAUACAUUGUCCUAAGACUAUCCCGCAGAUCAAGAAGCGCCUGAGUAGCUCUGAUCCUGAGAUAACGCCUCGUGCACGGCCCGCGGAGAUCGCCAUGGCGGCUAUUGUUGAGAAAGAGAGAUCGAAGACGAAGGAGCUUGUGGAGGAGGAAAAAAGGGAGGCACAAAGGGAGGCAGCGAAGAGGGAGAGGGAGAUGGAGGAGAGGACGGCUAAGCUGUUGGAGGAGGAGAGGAACCAGAACGACAGCGCUAACCGGGCCCUAUACGAGCUCAUUGUGACCAUGUGCGAGAAAAAUGGUCAGGCCCCUCCGCCGAUGCCCCAGAUUGCUCCGGCGACCACGCAUGGCUCCCGACAAGCAUCGACCACUCCUUCUGCCAAUGCCGGAACCCCGACCGGUCCUUCACAUCCGUCUGGCACUGGCGCAGCCCCGACCAUUCCUACACCUUCGUGA